AUGGGCAACGCCGGGAGCGCGGGCUCGCCGGAGCAGGCGAAGAAGCCGGAGCAGGCCGACGGCGGGGGCGGGGGCGGGGCCCCGCCGUCCACGGUGCGGUUCUUCCCCGCCGCCGCGCAGCACACGGCCAGGCAGCCGCCGCCGAUUAAGCUGGAGGGGGAGGACCUGCCGCCGCCGCCGGCCGAGGGCGUGGAGGAGGACAUGGCCGCCCCCCGCAACCUCUGGCAGGUGUACGCGCUGGGAGCGUUCCUCGUGGCGCGAUGGGGCUGGGCCAAGUGGCAGGAGAGCAAGGACCGAGACGACUCCGCGGAUGGCCAGUUGCCGCCGCCGGCUGCUUCAUCCUAG
RNAcentral lists this ribosomal RNA (345 nucleotides) under Triticum aestivum (bread wheat). RNAcentral describes it as "partial small subunit ribosomal RNA". Lineage: Eukaryota; Viridiplantae; Streptophyta; Magnoliopsida; Poales; Poaceae. The record is from RNAcentral.